GGGGUCGAUGGCGUGGCGGAGCGCCCAUUUCGAGUAUUGGCUCGAUCGGGCGUUGGAGGCGAUCUCGUCUCCA
Molecule: transfer RNA, 73 nt
Filed under: Pirellula sp. SH-Sr6A
Lineage: Bacteria; Pseudomonadati; Planctomycetota; Planctomycetia; Pirellulales; Pirellulaceae
Description: tRNA-Ser
Source: RNAcentral